GAUGAACGCUGGCAGCGUGCCUAAUACAUGCAAGUCGAGCGAACGGACGAGAAGCUUGCUUCUCUGAUGUUAGCGGCGGACGGGUGAGUAACACGUGGAUAACCUACCUAUAAGACUGGGAUAACUUCGGGAAACCGGAGCUAAUACCGGAUAAUAUUUUGAACCGCAUGGUUCAAAAGUGAAAGACGGUCUUGCUGUCACUUAUAGAUGGAUCCGCGCUGCAUUAGCUAGUUGGUAAGGUAACGGCUUACCAAGGCAACGAUGCAUAGCCGACCUGAGAGGGUGAUCGGCCACACUGGAACUGAGACACGGUCCAGACUCCUACGGGAGGCAGCAGUAGGGAAUCUUCCGCAAUGGGCGAAAGCCUGACGGAGCAACGCCGCGGGAGUGAUGAAGGUCUUCGGAUCGUAAAACUCUGUUAUUAGGGAAGAACAUAUGUGUAAGUAACUGUGCACAUCUUGACGGUACCUAAUCAGAAAGCCACGGCUAACUACGU
This 496-nucleotide ribosomal RNA is filed under the name uncultured bacterium. RNAcentral describes it as "partial 16S ribosomal RNA". It matches the Rfam family "Bacterial small subunit ribosomal RNA", at positions 28 to 506 of the family's 1533-position model. The record is from RNAcentral.